CACAUUAAUGUUAAAUAACUUGUGUAUAUAUCAAGAUAAACUAUGAUUGUUCGUACAAUGGAAUUUGCAAUAAUUAAUGACCUGUCAUAUUUUUCACAUACUAGAUGUCUAGAUAUCAAUUCAACGUGUAAUGCGAUAAUAUACAUUUAGACCUUUUUUCUCGUGGCUUUCCAAGCUAACAAGGUUAAAACAUUACCUAUAUAGACGAUCAGCUAGCUGGAGCGAUCGCCCUUUUCACUCAACCGAAUCUACAGUCGCAAGGAAGAAUAUUUUUAACAUGAGUUUUUUUAAUAAUAUCCAUAAUAAUAUAUAGAGGUCAGUGUAUCAACCACUAGCCUGACUAGAAAAUAUAUUAUACGAUGGUAUAGUCCAAAGCAAUCCAGUUGCUUUCAAAUGCAUGAUCGUAUCUCACAGAAAAUUGUUGAUUGUAUGUUUUUGAAAAAACUGGCUUGAUAGACCAGCCAGGAUCUACCAAAAAGGUUAGCCAAACUACUUUUAGUUGAAAAGAAGCCAAAUAAUUAUCUUAGUUUAUCAGCUGAACAAAUGGCUGAAUAGAGAGAGCGUUUGCACUCAUUCCCCAGGGACCAACUCAACAAAAGCCAUGGCGGCCAUCUUGGUGUUCCAGACAAGAGUCUAAUUAAAAUUCUUUUGAAUUGGAACACCAGCAUGGCGGCUGUGACAUCAUGUGCAAAUGCUCUAUAUUGGAUAGAAUCACAACAAAUCAUUUGACGAUUGCAGAUAACUCUGACUUAAA
This is a non-coding RNA of Paramuricea clavata, 754 nucleotides long. The record is from the annotation of a GenBank genome assembly. Lineage: Eukaryota; Metazoa; Cnidaria; Anthozoa; Malacalcyonacea; Plexauridae.